GAAACAUUGUAAAAAUUAUUUGCUGGUUUUUAUUGUUCAUUGUUAAAAUGAGUACAGUAUUUAUGUAAGCAGAAUAUCUGAGAGCGGCUGAUAAGUUCGCGGCCUAAAGUACUUAUGGUGCAGACAGAAAGCUCAGAAUUCAUUGUCUCAGGGGCUGAAGUAAAAGCCAGCACGAAUCUACAUAUGUAAAUUCCCACUGGAACAUUUGCAUUUAAAAAUAAACAAACAAAAAAAUAAAUGCGAGUAGAAAAACAUGAAUUGAGCGACCGCGAGCGAGUUCAACGUGUCAACAAAGUGUCGUCAGCGGCAAUGAUGACAGCGAUGGAGGGGUGUCAACAGUCUAUUCGUCGUCGUCUAUUGACCUCACAUUAGUAUUGCCAGCAUUUGGUGAAUGCGGCGACAACAACAGAAACUAAAAUUAUACUAUAGAAAGUACACAUGUAGAAGAAGCGCAGCGUAGAAGGGUAUGAAAGUCACAUCGGCACUACAUGGGUAUGUGUAUGGCAAUAGAACAGUGGCACGCGGCGGAAGUCAGUUGAAGGCAGGAAGAUCGCUUAACUUCCUGGUUCACAUUUCAACACAUGUUGCGGCCAGCACAACACAUGUGCCCCAAACACUGCAAGCGAAAACAAAGUCGAUGAAAAGUAGACGAAAAUGUAUGUUUGUAGUGAAUGAGAACACUAUCUACAUAUGUACAACAACGUACAAUACAAGCAAGCGAGCAUCUAAAUGUGUAUAAAAACAACAGCGCAUUUUGUCGUGAGGUCAAAGUGUGCCACUGUCUACUUACCAGCAUUUGUGCUGACAAAGGCGAGUUCAAGCGAAAAUGUCCUACUGUGUUUUAAACAGUCCAUAGUGCAAAAGCGAAUAGAGAGAAACAAAAAAACAAUAAAAAACUAGUUACUCGUACGUUAGCACUCACCACAUAUUACUUACAUAAAUUAAACAAUUUAUUUAAAUGCAAAUGUCUGGCGCAGCAGUGGUUCCCUCACACUAACACAUGCAUUCAUACAUGCAUAUAUAUGUACGUACAUGCGUUCAUAUGGCUUUGUUUGCUCUACCAUUAAAUCGUCGUUGAAUGUCGCGUAUACGCACUGCUGUCCCCAACUGGUGGCCACACAUUUGACAUGCAUACAUAUAUUUUUGCAUAAAUACGCUCAAGCAUAUAACACAAAAAUCUAUAUAUGUAAAUUCCAGCAGAAAUUAAAAUUUUGUGGUUUGUUGUUGAAAAAUAGUGGAAAAUGCAAUGUGGCAUAGCGGAUUUGUGGUUGGAGAGAAAAGUUAGGGAGAAAAAAUAAGUAAAAAACAAAUAAUAAGGAAUAAAACGCUUGCGCGUCCACGUCUCUCUUACAUGGAGUACGUGUGUGUGUGUUUAAGUGUUCACAGCACUCAAAAUAAUCGUAUGCAAUGA
Molecule: long non-coding RNA, 1411 nt
Organism: Ceratitis capitata (Mediterranean fruit fly)
Lineage: Eukaryota; Metazoa; Arthropoda; Insecta; Diptera; Tephritidae
Exons: 3
Source: RefSeq, a predicted model, not a curated record